GGAGGAACGAGCCCACCUUAGGACUGCCUUUGACAGUCACGGGCCAGCCCCUGCACAGGUGCAAAUUGGCCUAGCUGCCGUGGGGGCAGCAGAGCGGCUUUGAUUUACAGCUCCCGAGGACCUGGCCCUAUGGGAGCUGGUAGCAACCACCUCCCAUCUGCCUCCCUGCAGAAUCCCAGUUUGGCGGCGAUGUUCUAACCGGGGGGAGCCCAUGGCGCUGCCUGCAGCUCAGGACCAGCCCCUGGUCCCCAUCCUGCCUGCUAUCAGACCGCACGAUAGCGCAGAGCCGGACCGUGUCAGAACACCCCAGCCGUACCCCAAAACCAGGAGUGCGGAGCCUGAAGAGCUAGGUUGGAUGGCUGGUGGCAGUGAUGAGACUGGGGGGACCAUGGGAAGAUUAAAUGAAGACUGGAUGCAGGAAUCCCCGGGCGAGGCCUCAGGCCUGCACUGUAUUGGUCAGACUGGGUGAUUGUAACAGUCCCUUCUGGCUGAAUGACUCCAGUCCGGCCUGAAAGAUCUUGUGUCCGAGCCACGUGUCCCUUCCUGCUCCUCUGCCCCUUUCCUCUCUGGUUUUCUGUGUCUGCUCCUCCCUCUCUAUCCCGCCAGCUUGGAUGCAAUAACAACACUCCACUCUCUGACUCCGCUGCUGCCUCUCUCAUCCGGGAUUUUUUCUCCCGUAAUCCUGCUAAUUUUCUGUCCCUAGGUCUGACGACAGCGAUUCCUCUGUCUCGGAGGUGCUGAGAUGUUUGAGAUUGCGGACAGCGUGGUGGGGAAUGUCGGCCCCACCCAUAACUUCGAGCCCCCGCACUACGACGGCAUCGAGUGUCUGGCCAUCCAGGGCGACGUGCUCUUCCGCGGCUCCGGGGACAACGGGAUCAAGAAGUGGGACCUGGAGCAGCAGGAGCUCCUCCAGCAAAUCCCCAACGCGCACAAGGACUGGGUCUGCGCCCUGGCCUUCGUCCUCGGCCGCCCCAUGCUGCUGAGCGCCUGCCGCGGGGGCGUGGUGAAGGUCUGGAACAUGGAGAACUUCACACCCGUUGAGGAGAUCAAGGGCCACGACAGCCCCAUCAAUGCCAUCUGCACCAAUUCCAAGCACAUAUUCACUGCUUCCAGUGACUGCCAGGUAAAGCUAUGGACUUACGUGCCUGGGCUCACCCCCUGCCUUCCUCACCGCGUCCUUGCCAUAAAGGGGCGUGCCACUAGCCUGCCUUGACCCUCCUCCUGCUCUCUCUGGCUCUCACCCCCUCUGGCUCUCUCUCCUUUGCUCUCUCUGUCUCUUCUCUCUCCGCUCUGGUCUCAGCUGCUUCUUAACGCGACCUGACAGUGAAGCUCUGGAGCCGGAGAAGAUUGCUGAAUGGCCAGACCUAGGCACCGGAAAGGCCGGAGCCAGGGUGACUGUCAGGCUCCCUGGCGAGCCCAGGCCCCAGCCCCUCUCCCUGGCUGCGAAGAGCUGGGAGCGGCCUGGCCUGCGUGUGCUCCAGUUUCCAGGACUCUGCGUGACGGCAUCUCAGCUGGGGCUUUGUGAACUGCCCGCUUCCACGGCUAGGGGGCGUCGUUCCCGUCCAGCCCCACACUGGGUUUCCAUGAUGCAUAGGGCUUUCUGCUGACCAGGGCGUGGCCAGGCAGUGCUUCGGGACAUGGCCUUGCCAGCCACGGGGAGGACCCCAAGCUGAGAGACUCAACGGGAUCAUUCCAGUCUGUCCCGCAGCCCGUUCAGCAGCCCCAGAGCCUGGAUGUGCGAGAGGGAUCCUGCCACCUGCAUCCUGCUGCUGGCCUCUGCACCUCCUGGGUGCCUGGGGUCUCAUUCCUUCUGCAAGCGGCUGCAGGCCCCUCUCCACACUUCGUCGUUCAGCAGAGCUGGGAUCUGCUGGCCGGUACCGAAAUACGGAGAGGGCUUGUGUGCUGCCGACCCCAGCCUAGCACCAGCAGGGUGCAUGGAGCACCGCUGGUGAAUGACCCGCUCCCAAAGACGGCUUCCGAGCCCCGGCACUGCACUGGGGCUCCUUGCAAGGGGCUCCGGCAGCAGCUCCAUCGCUGGGUCUCCUGACCAAAUCCGCAUGCUGCCUGGCAAUUGUCGACCUCUGCAUCUGACCCACCUCGUUCGGAGCCAGGAUGCCCCCCCUUCUGCCCCGGGGGUGGAGAGAAGGAAGCUGGCACCUGGGGAAAAUCCCUGCGGGCGUCUCCAAGGAAAAGCGGAAUUUCUGGAUCUGUUCACUCUGGGUACCCCCUGACCUGACUGAGCCUUAAUUCCGCACUGGUCUGUUCACUCUUCCCUGUGGUCCCCUCACUGCCCAUUUGGACACCCGGCUUGGUGCCAUCUCUGCUGUGCGUGGGACUAGCUCAUUCCCAGCUGCUGCGGGAAGGGAUCGAAGCUUUUAUAGUGGGGUUUUAAAGAAUGUUUUAAGCACCCUUGAGAACGGAUUGGGACCUGGGGAUUUUUAAUAGCCGGGAAAGGCUUUAAUGCUGGGAAAAGGGCUAAGCUCUCCGCACCAUCUCACAGGAGGGGUUUAGGUUUGCUUGGGGCAGUUCCCUGCCUGCCGGCCUGUGGGUCCUGGCUUGGGAGAGUCUGGGAUUAGAGUAGUGGAAGGGCGGGCAGGGGGUGGUUAUAUGGUGAGGAGAGAGGUGUGUUGGCAAAGGCAGAGGGCGUGGGGCGCUCUGGACGGGAUCUGCAGCAGGGAGCGGGGCAGGGCUAGAAUAGAGCUGGAUGAAGGGGAGGAUGGGGGUAGCGGGAGGGGCCCACAUGAGACUUGAGGUGCAUUAGCAGAGCUGGGGGGGGCAAUGAGGGGUUGCCCAUGGCCUGCCCAUGCUCUGCUUGCCACCCACCUGCACUGCCAGUCUGGCACGAGACACUAAAUCACCAAGGUCACCCCAGAUUUGGGUUUUAUAAAGGUCAAAAUUCCGUAA
Molecule: non-coding RNA, 2904 nt
Organism: Chrysemys picta bellii (western painted turtle)
Lineage: Eukaryota; Metazoa; Chordata; Testudines; Emydidae
Source: RefSeq, a predicted model, not a curated record